AUCGCUUGGUAAAUGAUGUCGAAAAAUUAUAAAAUUUGAUUUCUAGAUAGUUCCAAUAGCGUAGAUUAUACCUAAUGGAGCCGAUCGUCGAAUCGAAAGUCCUAUCAUCGAAAACAACUUACAAGCACGGAGGCAUUCGUACUUUCGAAAGUACGGGAGACGUACUAUAUAUAUAUAUAUAUAUAUAUAUAUAUAUAUAGUCUGGCUACUAUGCUAUUAAUAGCACGAAGCACUUGGUGCUACCAAGUUUUCCGCCGUUAGAUCUACCUUUUUGAUCAUUUUCACCCGUUAGAUCAUACUAUUCAACCAACCACCCACUCAACCCUACGAGGCCCACGUUAUCCUAACCGUACAUCUCUUAAUCCAAUCGCCAAAAACUUGGUAGCACCAAUGACUUGGUGCUAUUAAUAGUAUAUUGGCCUAGUUCUAUAUAUAUAUAUAUAUAUAUAUAUAUAUAUAUAUAUAUAUAUAUAUAUAUAUAUAUAUACUAGUUAAGUGGACGUGCAAUGCACAUCGCACAAAUACUAAAAAAUAAAAUUUAUUGCACGUCGCACAAAUACUAAAAAAUAAAAUUUUUAUAAAUACAUAUUAUAGAUUCGAUAUAUAAUAUUUAAUCAUUACCAAAAUAAAAUGACAUAAAUAAAAAAUAAAAUUACAAUAUCAUCAAAAAAAGAACAUGAUAUCAUUGAAAAAGAAACACAAAAUUCGUCACUAAACUAACUAAAAAUGUUACUAUCAGUCUCCCUUCUAUACAAAUUUCACUGAAAGUAAGAAAAAUAAUAAAGUAAAUAUUAGUAAAUCGUCAAAAUAGAUAAAAAAAUAUAAAUUUAAUAAGAAUUCAUAUAAGUAAAAAUUUUUAGCUUAAUUUUAUUUCUUGAGUUUUUGGAAUAGAUGGAUUAAGCACGAUUUUACUCGCAAAACUUUGCUAAAUAAAUUAAUCCUGAUAAAUAAAUUUAAAAUACUACAAAAAAAUAGAAUAUUAAAAAAUAUUUAUCCUAAUCAGUUGUUAUAUUAACGUGCACUGCUGUUAAUAUAACAACUGAAUUGUUUGCAAUAGCGUCUCUCCACAUGCCAAUGUGUGUUAGCACUAUUUUGUCCUAGAGGAUCAUUCUAAUUCGACUCAUGUUUCAAUCCAUCCAAAUAAUUAGUUAUUAAUAAUUUUUUUCAUGUGAAAUGAUAAAAGGGAGAACACUUUACCUUCAUGUUUAGGGCGAUUAACAUCAUACAAAUAAAGAGUGAUUGAUUUGAACAACCAUUCCUACAAUAUCUAAGAAAACUGAAAUAGUAUAGAAGUUCGUAUUUAGUAGUAGUAUAGAAGGUGGCGAAGGCAACAAUGUGUCGGCGCCGAUGAUGACUAUGUGCUGGUAUCGACAAUGGGACAAAUGAGAAAUAAUAUUAUUAAAAAAUAUUUGAGAAUAUUUGAGAAAAAUAUAGAUAAAAAUAAAAAAAAAUAUUAUUAAAAAAUAUAUAUUUUAUAU
Molecule: long non-coding RNA, 1478 nt
Filed under: Ananas comosus (pineapple)
Lineage: Eukaryota; Viridiplantae; Streptophyta; Magnoliopsida; Poales; Bromeliaceae
Description: long non-coding RNA (ACOM_LNC044010)
Source: RNAcentral